Molecule: long non-coding RNA, 372 nt
Filed under: Vitis vinifera (wine grape)
Lineage: Eukaryota; Viridiplantae; Streptophyta; Magnoliopsida; Vitales; Vitaceae
Description: long non-coding RNA (VVIN_LNC002226)
Source: RNAcentral
AAAUAUAUGUAUUUUUAUAUUGAAAUAUUAAAAUAAGUGAAAUAAAUUUAGAAUAAUAAUCCUAAUAAUUUUAAUUUCAUAAUAUGCAUCAGGACACCGGCCGAAUCAAUGACCCUGACUUCAAUACUUGUUGAGAAAAGAUACUGUGCCUUUAUCGUUUGCUGUGCUGGUAAAGAGCAGCCCUUCUUACUCAUUCCCUAGUCCCCCAUGUGUCCGAUUCAACAGGAUUCUUGUGACAAUUUGGCUCCUGUUUCAGCCAUUAUUAGAGAUAAGCAAGACCCAGUUCCCAUUAAGGCAAGGACAUGAAGACAUUGAUUUUCUACUCUCUUUAUGAAGAUUGAUUACGCUGGAAAAUUUGUGGGCAUCCAUCCC